GAUUAUUAUUGUGCUCACACUAAAAAAUUGGAAUGAAUCACAGAAGAUUAGCAUGACCCCUGAACAAGGAUGGCAUGUGAAUUUGUGAAGCUUUCCAUGUUAUA
This 104-nucleotide small nuclear RNA is filed under the name Castor canadensis (American beaver). The record is from RNAcentral. Lineage: Eukaryota; Metazoa; Chordata; Mammalia; Rodentia; Castoridae.